UCCGUUGUAGCACUGGCAAUUUCUAUCUUAAGUAUUGGAAUCCGGGUUCAAAUCCCGGCAGCGGAA
This 66-nucleotide transfer RNA is filed under the name Solanum tuberosum (potato). It matches the Rfam family "tRNA". Rfam says of the family: Transfer RNA (tRNA) molecules are approximately 80 nucleotides in length. Their secondary structure includes four short double-helical elements and three loops (D, anti-codon, and T loops). The record is from Rfam by way of RNAcentral. Lineage: Eukaryota; Viridiplantae; Streptophyta; Magnoliopsida; Solanales; Solanaceae.